RNAcentral lists this ribosomal RNA (485 nucleotides) under uncultured bacterium. RNAcentral describes it as "bacterial SSU rRNA". It matches the Rfam family "Bacterial small subunit ribosomal RNA", at positions 28 to 507 of the family's 1533-position model. The record is from RNAcentral.
GAUGAACGCUAGCGGGAGGCUUAACACAUGCAAGUCGAGGGGCAGCAUAGGGUAGCAAUACUCUGAUGGCGACCGGCAAACGGGUGAGUAACGCGUAUGCAACCUACCCUGUACAGGGGGAUAACCCGGAGAAAUUCGGACUAAUAUCCCGUAAUAAUAUCCGGAGGCAUCUUUGGAUAUUUAAAGUUCCGACGGUACGGGAUGGGCAUGCGUAACAUUAACUGGUUGGUAAGGUAACGGCUUACCAAGGCUAUGAUGUUUAGGGGUCCUGAGAGGGUGGUCCCCCACACUGGUACUGAGACACGGACCAGACUCCUACGGGAGGCAGCAGUGAGGAAUAUUGGUCAAUGGGCGCAAGCCUGAACCAGCCAUCCCGCGUGCAGGAAGACGGCCUAUGGGUUGUAAACUGCUUUUCCAGGGAGAGAAACUUACGCACGUGUUGCGUGACUGACGGUACCUGGGAAUAAGCAUCGGCUAACUCCGUG